Molecule: ribosomal RNA, 247 nt
Filed under: uncultured bacterium
Lineage: Bacteria
Description: partial 16S ribosomal RNA
Rfam family: Bacterial small subunit ribosomal RNA
Source: RNAcentral
AUACGGAAGGUCCGGGCGUUAUCCGGAUUUAUUGGGUUUAAAGGGAGCGUAGGCCGGAGAUUAAGCGUGUUGUGAAAUGUAGACGCUCAACGUCUGCACUGCAGCGCGAACUGGUUUCCUUGAGUACGCACAAAGUGGGCGGAAUUCGUGGUGUAGCGGUGAAAUGCUUAGAUAUCACGAAGAACUCCGAUUGCGAAGGCAGCUCACUGGAGCGCAACUGACGCUGAAGCUCGAAAGUGCGGGUAUC